Cinara cedri is the source of this 260-nucleotide non-coding RNA. Lineage: Eukaryota; Metazoa; Arthropoda; Insecta; Hemiptera; Aphididae. The record is from the annotation of a GenBank genome assembly.
AACAGAACUUGAUUAUCUUUCUUAUCCCCGAAGAUAUUAUAAUGAGCCCUUCAUUGGACAUUCUGUAUAAUUUUAAUGUUUAUACGUAUAUAUUGUGUAUACAGUCAAUGAUUAUAGUUAGGUAUAAAAUAUAACAACUAUGAAGUAAUUAUUUAUGUAUACAGGAUACGGAAUGACAGCCUUAUCAGUUUAUUAUGACAAGUUCCUCGCAUGGCUUUUAUAGUCAAAUUAGACACUCAGCACUUAACAGUGACCGCCCA